Pongo pygmaeus (Bornean orangutan) is the source of this 2653-nucleotide long non-coding RNA. RefSeq lists it as uncharacterized. The transcript has 3 exons. NCBI's taxonomy places the organism in Eukaryota, Metazoa, Chordata, Mammalia, Primates, Hominidae. The record is from RefSeq and is a predicted model, not a curated record.
GGGCUUGCUGGGGUGCCUGGUUAGUGGUGGGCAGCCUCAGGGUGGCUCUGCCUGAGGGCCCAGCUGGCCCCGCUCCCGUCCUCUGCCGCAGCUCCUCCGGAGCAUCUGCAGCCUCGGUGGUAGCACCUGGAAAAGGGGCACAUCUUGCCAAGGUUUUGGGAGAAGCCUGGGUAUGCUGAGGGCUUACGAAGUCGAGAUGACCUCACACCACAAGGUGACAGCUUCUACUUAAUGAAAAAAUCCAGCUUUUAUUGAUGGGAGUGAUAUAAAAAAACUGCAACAGUGCUCAGCAAAUGACUGGUGUUUGGGACCCGUGGCCUCUAGAUUUAGCCGGGUUUGGAUUUGUGAUCUGGGCUCCAUGCCUGAGGCAGAAAGUCGUGCCCUCAGUCAGCCCGAGUUGAGACCGAUGUGAAGCGGCUGGAGGGGGUCCUCUGGGACAUUUGCAAAUGACCACGCCCCUGCUCUACUGCAAACGACGACUGGGCAAGGAGGACUGACCAUGGGGCUGGACAAGGAGGAGCUGACCACAGGAGGCUCGGACUGGGAGCCAGAAGAGCCCCCGGGGAAGCUUCGGAAAGCAGGAAGAGCAGCUGGUUUGGGCAGCCCCAAAUGCCUGCUCUAGGUCUGAAUAUCGUUACCUAAUCCCUGCGAGGGAGUGGGGAGCGGCUGUGCAGGUUCUGAGUGCAGGUUUAACGCCUGGCUCGGUUUGCUACCUGUUGGGAUUUUAUUUUAUUUUUUUGAGACGUAGUCUCGCUCUGUCGCCAGCCUGGAGUGCAGUGGCGACAUCUCGGCUACCUGCAACCUCCGCCUCCCGGAUUCAAGCGAUUCACCUGUUAGGAAUUUUAACAUUCAGCGCCCACGUGCAGAGUAGAGGAGGCUGGAGGGGCGCAACACCGCCGUCUCGCGGCGACGGGGUGCACAGCGCCUGUGAGGACCCAGGCUGGGAACCACCUGUCCCAGAGACUCAUCUUCAGCAUCAAAGCGCGUCCCCGCGCUGUUCGUAAAGAGCUUGCCAUGCGGCAGGUACCGCGCAGGACUCCAGACCUGCCUUAUCUUUCGAGAUCCCCACAGCCCCUGAAGGGAGGGACCACUAAUAUCAACAUUCACAGGACGGAAUCGGAGGUGUCCUUGUGUUCACAGCCGGGCAGCCCACCCAGCUGGAGGGGGGUACUUGGGGAACGCUGUCUAGCUCGCGAGAGGUGGAAGUGGGCUCCUGAGAAGGGCGGCCGCGUGUGGCUUCACUGUCCCCUUUUGCGUUUAAAGGGAACUUCUCCGGAUGGAUUAGGUGUCACGGCAGCAGUGUGAGAACGGAAGCACCCAAGCCCGUCCCCUCGGCCAGCCCCUUCACCUCUCUGGGCCUCAGUGUCUUCACUUGUCAAACGGGAACAGGGACGCUCCUUCCCAGUGCAGGGUGGGGUCCGAGUGAGCUAGGGCAAGCCAGCGUUCAGUGCAGAGCAGCUGGGGUCUGAGUCCUUGGGGAGCUGGGCUUGGAGAAAGUGAGAUCUCGUGGGCUCUGGGAAGGAAGGCCUGUGCUCUGUUCCCACACAGCACCCGCAGCGGCAGGGCUCCUUGGGGAGGCCAGACCAGGGCCAGGCAUGGCCAGAAAGACCCUGCCUUUAAGGGGCUGUGGAACCCUGGGCAAGGAGUGUACCCAAGUAACCAGCGUGGCCCAAGGCCAGGGGUCCCCUCUGUGAGCGUCAGAUUGGAGGGGGCCCUCACGAUCUUGCAGACCCUGCAGCCACCUCGGGCCAGAAGCCAAGCAGGGUCCCUGCCCUCAGAGAGCUUCUAGUCUAGUGGAGAUACACACAUGAAACUGCCUUGUUUAGAAGCUACCAGGAAGGAGAGGCCCCAGUGAGAGGACAGCAAAUAAAGGGGGAAUGUGACCUGGUCAGGCCAUCAGGGAAAGCUUCCUGAGGAGAGGACGAUGGAUGAAAUUUGGAGGCAGAGUGGGCACUGCCUGGGAGGCAGGGAGGGGAGAGCGUUUCAGGAAGAGGAAGGAGCAUGUGCUGGGCAGGAAGAAGGGAGGACCGGGAGUCCCAGACUGAGGGAGGACAGUGCCAGGAGGGCCUGGAAAAGCAGAGAGGGGAGGGUCAGGCCACAGCAGGCUCGAGAGGCCACGGAGGGGGCUGUGUGUGAGAGGGAGGGUGACAGGGAUGGUGGGAGGGAGGAAAGAGAGGAGAGAUGGAACCUGAUUUGCAUUUCACAAUGACAACUCUGCCUGCUGGGGUGGAGAAGGAUCUAGAAGGGUCUGGCGUAGGCAGGUGGGCAGAGCACCUGCGAGGUUAGUUAUUGCAGAUGAUCAGGAAGGAGACUUUGUAACCUGGGCCAGGGAAAUGAAGGGAACAAGGCCAGUGGUCAGUCCAGGGGCGUGGGGACAGGUGGGAGGCGGGGGUGAGGGGAGCCCCAGGGAUGGCACCCAGGCUUCUGUGUUACACAGUUGGAUGGCUGGAGGUGGCCUCGCCAGGAAGGAACAGCUGGAGGAGGCCAGGUUUUGGAGGGAGGGCAUCUGCAUUCAGCCUUGGCCGUGCUGAGCCUGAGCUGCUGCUGAGCUAUCCAGGGGAAACACACAGGGAUGGGGGGUCUGUGUCGCCAGUGAGGGGACUGUGCAAGUGACUGUCCUAACUGAACACUUCAGAGUGAAGAGCAGCUCUGU